RNAcentral lists this ribosomal RNA (434 nucleotides) under uncultured Lachnospiraceae bacterium. RNAcentral's name for it is "bacterial SSU rRNA". It matches the Rfam family "Bacterial small subunit ribosomal RNA", at positions 341 to 792 of the family's 1533-position model. The record is from RNAcentral. Lineage: Bacteria; Bacillati; Bacillota; Clostridia; Lachnospirales; Lachnospiraceae.
ACGGGAGGCAGCAGUGGGGAAUAUUGCACAAUGGGCGAAAGCCUGAUGCAGCGACGCCGCGUGAGUGAAGAAGUAUUUCGGUAUGUAAAGCUCUAUCAGCAGGGAAGAAAAUGACGGUACCUGACUAAGAAGCCCCGGCUAACUACGUGCCAGCAGCCGCGGUAAUACGUAGGGGGCAAGCGUUAUCCGGAUUUACUGGGUGUAAAGGGAGCGUAGACGGUAAUGCAAGUCUGAAGUGAAAGCUCGGGGCUCAACUCCGGAAUUGCUUUGGAAACUGUGUUACUAGAGUGCAGGAGAGGCAAGUGGAAUUCCUAGUGUAGCGGUGAAAUGCGUAGAUAUUAGGAGGAACACCAGUGGCGAAGGCGGCUUGCUGGACUGUAACUGACGUUGAGGCUCGAAAGCGUGGGGAGCAAACAGGAUUAGAUACCCUGGUA